GAUGAACGCUGGCGGCGUGCCUAAUACAUGCAAGUCGAACGCGACACCUUCGGGUGUCGAGUGGCGGACGGGUGAGUAACACGUGGGUAACCUGCCCAUCAGCCUGGGAUAACCACCGGAAACGGUGGCUAAUACCGGAUAUGUCUACGGAUGAAAGUCGGGUUUUCUGACACUGAUGGAUGGACCUGCGGCGCAUUAGCUAGUUGGUGAGGUAGUGGCUCACCAAGGCGACGAUGCGUAGCCGACCUGAGAGGGUGAUCGGCCACACUGGGACUGAGACACGGCCCAGACUCCUACGGGAGGCAGCAGUAGGGAAUCUUCCGCAAUGGACGCAAGUCUGACGGAGCAACGCCGCGUGAGUGAAGAAGGUUUUCGGAUCGUAA
Molecule: ribosomal RNA, 383 nt
Filed under: uncultured bacterium
Lineage: Bacteria
Description: bacterial SSU rRNA
Rfam family: Bacterial small subunit ribosomal RNA
Source: RNAcentral